This is a long non-coding RNA of Chelmon rostratus (copperband butterflyfish), 3081 nucleotides long. RefSeq lists it as uncharacterized. Lineage: Eukaryota; Metazoa; Chordata; Actinopteri; Chaetodontiformes; Chaetodontidae. The transcript has 4 exons. The record is from RefSeq and is a predicted model, not a curated record.
ACAAAAACAAAAACAGAUUGUAAGUAUAUACAGGUGUGUCAGGUGUGUCAGGUGUUGUGUUGGUUGUCUCUCAGGCUGUGACACAGUUUGACAUAUUUAGCUGCUGCUAAGCUGCUGACUCUGUUCUCUCCAAGGAUGUGCUGCAUUUUAAUUUGAUCAGGCAGAGAAUCAAAGUCAGUGACUGAAACUUUGAUUUUUGAGAGGAACUCUGCUCUCGCCUGUUCGUAUUUGCUGCAGUGCAGCAGGAAGUGUGUCUCCGUCUCCACCUGUCUGUGUGGACAGAGCUGACAAAACCUGUCCUCUCUGGGCAGCCAGGUCUGCCUGUGUCUGCCCGUCUCUAUGGCCAAGCUGUGGUCACUGAGUCUGUACAUGGUCAGAAUCUUCCUCAGUGUCUCAUCAGUCACGGUGCUCAGAUAUUCUGCCACCGUGUACUUUCUGUUUAGAGCCAAAUAACACUGAAGUUUGCUUUGUGUUGUUGUGGUAGAUGUCCAAUAGUUUAUGUAAUGUUGUUUUUGUUGUUCUAUGAUUUUGGGGGUCCAGAUUGUGUGAGGGCUGUCCUGAGAGGAGCUGAGCCUCAGGAUGAGCUGGCUGAGCGGGCUCUUCUCCAUGUUCUCCUCUUGGCAUUGCAUUGCAGUCAGAAGUUUAACAUCCAAGUCAGUUUAGGAAAAAUAAUGGAAUAGAAAAAGCUCUUCAGAGGUCUCAGGAGUUUUUUUGAUUGUUGAGACGCAAGACGACAAUUAGCUUUGUCAUUUUGUUGCCCCACUGAGUGUGACACAUCACACUGACAGCCACUCUGCCAACUUGUCUGGGACAACAGCUUCCUCCAAGCCAUGUUCCUUUUUUAUAUAUAUAUAUAAUAAAAGCAGCUUAUUACGCUGCGCUGAGAAACAAGACUGUACGAUCCAUUGCAAAGAUCAUUUGGGUCUAAACAAUUCCCCAUCUCAAUGUAGUGUAUGUAUGAACUAUUUAGUUGAAUUCAGACUGUUUGAUGAUCCCAGGCGUGUCACGCCUGCAUGAAAGUGCACUGCCAGCAGGGGGAGACAAUUUUCUCAGCACCCGCGGACAACAAGAAGCAUUGAGUUCACUCCCACACCUGGGAGCUGCAUGACUGAUGAAAAGUAUUUUUAAAACUAAGAAUGGCGUUUGUUAAACAGCUUGGGGUGUAAUCAUGUUCAUUACAUUUCACUUGUCGGUCGAGACGUUUGAUGAAAUGAAAUUUGAAACUUAACUUAGGUCCAUUAGCAUUUAGGUUUACAACUAGCUGAAAGCUGAGAGCUAGCUUCAGUGAAAGGAGCUGUAUAAUAAUAUAAGCUUAUUUUCUGGUCGCCGAUAGCUGAAGGUGUUCAACUGUUUCACGCUUGUCAAUGUCAGCUUUUACUCAGCCGUCCAAUCACAGUGGAGGAGAGGCGGGAGAAGAAGCGCAAAGACCAGAGAGGCUUUGGUUGCUAGGAUACGGAUAAUCAGUACAAGCAACGUUUACGCUGUAAGAGACAUAGCUAAACAUUUGUUUGUUCUGUUUUCCUUUUCCUUUGUCCAACAGCUCCCGCCCAGCUUUCUCCGUGCACCUCCACCUAUUCCCGUUUCUUUAAAAAGCCUCAUACCUGACGCGCGCGCGCGCGCGCACACACACACACACACCCUCCACACACAUACAUUGUCUGUCUGUCUGUCUGUCUGUCUGUCUCACUUUCUCUUUCUCUCUCUGCUGAGGACCUGCUGUCUUGAUGUGAGUUUUGUUAUUCUAUGGUAUAUUUAUAUGUGCCACAUUAAUCUCUGUCCAAAACACUGAGUGCCUGCCAUUUUCUUCUUGUUAUGAAGGUAACUAAAAGCCACUAAGUCUGGCAAUAUGAGAAAAAAAUAUGAUGUCAGAAUAAGUUCAUUUCAGUGAUGACAGUAUGAAUUUUGACAUAUAAAUAUUGAAGUGUGCAUUCUCUUCUGUCUUUCUGCUUUAAUCAGUACGCUGCUACAUAGAGGCAAACAUUUAAUAGCCUCUGACGAGUGAGCAAAAAAAUGAAUUACAAUUAUUUCUAACAUCCAUUCAUUGAACAAACAUCAAUACCCAAUGAAUUGAUCAUAACAUUAUUUAAAUCAGAAGCAAAAAAAAAACUAAUCUUGCCAUUGCACAUGCAUUUGUCGUAAUAAAAGUGAAAAUUCAGUUUACCAGUCAGCCAUAGUGGUGUCCUGCUGUCUCCCACAUUCUCAGCUUUUAUUUUGGCCUGACUUUUUUUUCUUUUGUCUUUUCUUUUUAAAUUAGUAUUGGUGCAAUGGCUGCUCAAGACAGAGGGAGAGCAGAGGAUGAAAUUUUCCUUGCAGACCUGCUUCUGGCUCAAAACAAAGUGAAGAAACCCAAGGGCAAGCCUCCCAAUAAGUUUCAAAACCGAUGGUUGGAGAGAGAUGCUGAUGGACGUCCAGCAUUAAAAAGAAGUCGAUCCAGCGAGACACGAAGACGUUCUUCAGCUACAGACAUUGAGAUGCAGAAACUUCAGGAUAUCCUGUCCUCAGCCAGUGUUAAAGUUGAUGACCAUCCUUCAACAUCCACAUCAUAGUGCUUGUGCCAGUCUACAGCCCAAGAUGAGUGGCGGAAAGCAAGUGAGACCCAUCAAAAUAUGCACCUGCGACCCUGCAAACCUCACAGAACCUGGAGGAAAAGCCGUUAUUUUGAUUUGCAUGAGUGGUAUGCCUAUGCCUUUCUAUUUGUAUCUUUUUUCUGUUCAUUUGUGUCAAAAAAUAACAAUGCAUUUAAUUUACUACUUUUGGUUUUUAGGUCGAUAUAAUUUGGCACUUGCCAUGGUUGGCAUGUACGUCAUGCAUUGCACAGUGGACCCCUGACAGGGGUGAUCUGAUUAAAAAGUGGGUAUUGGCCAGCAUCUGUGAAUGCAGACAAAAUCUUUUCAGUGGCUCUGAUGGUGAAAUUCAAGAAGACAUGGAGAUGUGUUCCAACAGAGCUACUUGAAGUACACUUUCUGCCUCCAUCAGUGUGAAACAAUGGCAGGGGUACAGCACUUCACCUGCCCAGCAUGUACUCCAAACAUGCUUGCUGUUUGUGCAGAUGGCAACCUGAAAUGGUACCGAUUUCAGUCA